This 422-nucleotide ribosomal RNA is filed under the name uncultured archaeon. RNAcentral's name for it is "bacterial SSU rRNA". It matches the Rfam family "Archaeal small subunit ribosomal RNA", at positions 458 to 880 of the family's 1478-position model. The record is from RNAcentral.
UCAGCCGCCGCGGUAAUACCAGCUCUCCGAGUGGUGUGGACGUUUAUUGGGCCUAAAGCAUCCGUAGCUGGCUGAACAAGUCCCCUGUUAAACCUACCGAUUUAAUCGUUGGCGUGCGGGGGAUACUGCUUGGCUAGGGGACGAGAGAGGCAGACAGCAUUCCCGGGGUAGGGGUGAAAUCCUAUAAUCCCGAGAUGACCACCAGUGGCGAAGGCUGUCUGCUAGAACGCGCCCGACGGUGAGGGAUGAAAGCUGGGGGAGCGAACCGGAUUAGAUACCCGGGUAGUCCCAGCUGUAAACGAUGCAGACUAGGUGUUUGGACGGCCACGUGCCGUUCUAGUGCCGCAGGGAAGCUGUUAAGUCUGCCGCCUGGGGAGUACGAUCGCAAGGUUGAAACUUAAAGGAAUUGGCGGGGGAGCACA